CAUCGCAGCCGCGGAGCGACCGCUGCUUCCCCGUGGGGACCGGCCGCACCCCGGGCGGCACGUACCGCACAAAGGCGCGGGGCUCCCUGGGCGAUCAAACGAAACGCAGACUUACCGGAUGCCGACUGUAAAAUCCUUUCUUCGGAUGGGGUUUUCUUCCACAUUGGUGGUCCAGCCUGUAUUCUUUUGUAUUAAAGGAGCUCCGGGUUUUCUAGGGCUAUAGGAUGAGUGCAUUGUGUAUUUAUCAAAGGAAGGCAGUGGUAUUUGCUUUUCGAUAAACAUAUAGGCAAAAUGAAGGAUUAGGACCUUCGUGAUGCAAAGGUUGGGCCCGACACUACUGCUGGUGUAAAAUCAAAUGGCUGAGAACAACACUGGCUGAGUGGUGUCAUUUGCAGAGCACCAUGGAGACAUUUGAGCCAGCCACCUCCCCUGCAUCCCAGCUGUGCCCUUCGGGCGGCGAGUACCUUCAGCUGCUUAACAGGUCAUCAAAACUCCCAUAAAUACCACCUUAAGAUUUAUGGCAGUCCCAGCACAGGUACACCCAGCCUGUGCGUAGUGCUCAGGGCCAGUUUGCGGGUGAGGUUCAGAUGGUGGCCCAGUGCGAAGGCGGCUGUGCCUGCACCAGCGCUGGCAGAGCUGCUGCCACAGCCGCCCGGGCUGCUCACACUCUCACCUCUUGUCACACAAUGGGCUCAAGGUGCCCAACAUGCCAGCACGGGGCUGCUCGGCUUCACUCCGCUUCUCUUGAGUUACAGCUCUGUCUCUGUCUUACGUCCCGUUAGAAGAUCUAAAAAUAGACGUUUGGAAUCAAUCCUGUUGCAAUUUCUCAGAUCACUAUCAAGAACUGGCCCGAUCUCUGAGAGUCAUUCCUACCGCCAACUCUUAGUUUUACAUCCCCAUAUUUGGCUUUUGUUUUGUUUUUAAGCGGGGAAAUCUAGUCUGUGUUUAUGUGCUAGAGCAGUAGCUGGAAGGAUAUCUUUACUUUUCACCAGUGCUUUACACACAUGCUUUUUUAACUAGAGUUUUCCUUACGAUUGUUAAUCCUGGAGCAGGAAUUUCCUAUUGCAUUCCUCACAGCAGGAGAGCAAGAGGGAGAGGCUGCUCUUUCUGUAGCAAUAUCCUUUUCCACCCUUCCUGUUUAUAUAGCAUUUUUGUUUAACAGGACGGAGCCGUCUGACAGUGACUUUGCCCCAGCUAUAGCUCCUGUGCUCUCUAUACAUUUAACCUGUUUGCAGCCCGCUCGCGUAGCAAAAAGGACAGGACACAGGUUAAAACCUGUCCCUCCGGAAGGGAAUAGAGGUGUUUCCCAGAAACAGAUAGCUUGACAGGUCAAAGGAGGGUCUCACAAAACACCGGGUUUUCCAAAGCCUCCCUGGUCAAUCUUUAGUGAGUAAGAAAUACAAUAGAUACUUCAGUGCCAUGUUCCUUUAUCUGAUGGGAAGUGGAGGCCUGUGCUGCUUCAUGGCUUUCACCUUCACGUCAGGAACAAAAAGGUGAUUUUCACAGGUGCCAAGUCCAUGCAGCCUGACUUACAAGUGCACAGGCAUCGGCCCUGAAGUGCAAGAGCCACAGGAUUGCUCCCUGCAAGAACAGAAGUGCAAGAUACAAUGCCCUUCUUACUGGAACUGGUGAUGCUUUGGGCACUGAUGUCAGAACACGCUGGCUCAGCACUUUCCUUGGCCCCUAAAAGGAAGGGAAAUGAAACUGUGCCCAAAUGAAGGAGGUGUUUUUUUCGGUUUCUAAACUGAACACUUCCACCAGCCACCUCCAUGCUGACCACGAAACCUACACUGAAGCGGGAGGAGAGCCGACCCCAGCACCGUUCUCUUCUGCUGACAAGGCGGAAAGCGGAUCUGCUGCAUCUCAAGUGCAUUCCUGGGCAUGGCGAUGAGGAUCUGUAAAGAAAACAUCACGUUAGCUGUGAUCCUUCCGAGCAGGAAAACACAACCCGGACUCUGGCCUCCUGAAAGCAGAGGGAGCUCAGAUGGAGCCCCAGGUACUUCCACGUACUGCUCGCUCCUGGUUGCUGUGGCUCACCUUGGGUGUUUCCUGAGGAUAUUCCAGAAGCAAUAUUCUGGAUUUUGCCCUAGAUUUUUGCAGGACAGAUGAUGUAAAAAACUGUGUGGUGCAAGAAGGAAAUGCCAAAAAAAACCCAGAAAAAAAAGCUACCAUUACAAGUACUUAACUGAUGGGAAAGAAACAAUUAUGUACGUUAUCAAUAUGUAAAAUACAAUUUAUUGUAUUUAGGCCAUUCAUAAAUAUCAACACAAUGUAGUAUGUUUGAAUCAAACAUCUUACCAAUAAAUACUAUCUAAACAUUAAUAUUAAUAUUUUGCUCAAAUGUGUACAGUGUAUUGACUCAAUAUUGCACAGUGAGCUCUAUAUGACAUUUCCAUAGUGCAUUCAGUUUGUUACAGGGAUAGUUUGCCACAAAUAUUGCAAAGCAUCAGAGCUGACUUUUCCAAGUGAAAACGGCUGAACUAUUUCAUUGGGGACUGAUGGCUGACACAAAUGUCAGCAUCCUAGGUUAACUGGUUAUGGAUUCAUGGAACCUAAUGUUGUCAUGAAUGAGGAGACUUUAUUUCUAAUACAGCUUUUACAGAAUUGUUAAAAAAAUCCCACUUUCAAAUAGAAUGAGGGCUUUAUCAUCAAACUUAUGUGAACAGCCCGUUCCAGUGAUCAGUGAGCCUGUGAUCAAGCUUACUCCAGUGAGCUUGUCUUCUCACUUCAAUCUAAAUAUAAAUUGUGUCUUUGAUCUUUUCGGAGAUGUAUCUCA
Molecule: long non-coding RNA, 2776 nt
Organism: Columba livia (rock pigeon)
Lineage: Eukaryota; Metazoa; Chordata; Aves; Columbiformes; Columbidae
Exons: 2
Source: RefSeq, a predicted model, not a curated record